This is a long non-coding RNA of Maniola jurtina (meadow brown), 75 nucleotides long. RefSeq lists it as uncharacterized. Lineage: Eukaryota; Metazoa; Arthropoda; Insecta; Lepidoptera; Nymphalidae. The transcript is spliced from 3 exons. The record is from RefSeq and is a predicted model, not a curated record.
GGUUCGUGUGGCUUGUAUUAAUUGGCACCGGCUCCAAAAAAUAUUAUUAUAAAAUUAGGUACUUUACAUGCACUU